This 224-nucleotide ribosomal RNA is filed under the name uncultured bacterium. RNAcentral describes it as "partial 16S ribosomal RNA". It matches the Rfam family "Bacterial small subunit ribosomal RNA", at positions 28 to 246 of the family's 1533-position model. The record is from RNAcentral.
GAUGAACGCUAGCGGCAGGCUUAAUACAUGCAAGUCGAGGGGCAGCGCAGUGUAGCAAUACAUGGGCGGCGACCGGCAAACGGGUGCGGAACACGUACGCAAUCUACCCAAAACUGAUGAAUAGCCCUCCGAAAGGAGGAUUAAUACAUCGUAACUUAAUGAAGUGGCAUCACUUUAUUAAUAUAGCUCCGGCGGUUUUGGUAUGAGCGUGCGCCUGAUUAGGA